GACGAACGCUGGCGGCGUGCUUAACACAUGCAAGUCGAACGGAAAGGCCCUGCUCUUGUGGGGUGCUCGAGUGGCGAACGGGUGAGUAACACGUGAGUAACCUGCCCUUGACUUUGGGAUAACUUCAGGAAACUGGGGCUCAUACCGGAUAGGAGCUCCUGCUGCACGGGGGGGGUUGGAAAGUUUCGGCGGUUGGGGAUGGACUCGCGGCUUAUCAGCUUGUUGGUGGGGUAGUGGCUUACCAAGGCUUUGACGGGUAGCCGGCCUGGGAGGGUGACCGGCCACAUUGGGACUGAGAUACGGACCAGACUCCUACGGGAGGCAGCAGUGGGGAAUAUUGCACAAUGGGCGGAAGCCUGAUGCAGCAACGCCGCGUGCGGGAUGACGGCCUUCGGGUUGUAAACCGCUUUCGCCUGUGACGAAGCGUGAGUGACGGUAAUGGGUAAAGAAGCACCGGCUAACUACGUG
RNAcentral lists this ribosomal RNA (468 nucleotides) under uncultured bacterium. RNAcentral describes it as "partial 16S ribosomal RNA". It matches the Rfam family "Bacterial small subunit ribosomal RNA", at positions 28 to 507 of the family's 1533-position model. The record is from RNAcentral.